Molecule: ribosomal RNA, 723 nt
Filed under: uncultured bacterium
Lineage: Bacteria
Description: bacterial SSU rRNA
Rfam family: Bacterial small subunit ribosomal RNA
Source: RNAcentral
UCGGACGAGAUUUUCCGUUGUAGCAAUACGAUGGAAAGUCUAGUGGCGAACGGGUGCUUAACACGUGGGCAAUCUGUCUUAAAGUGGGGGAUAGCUCGGCGAAAGCCGAAUUAAUACCGCAUGUGAUUAGAAUGGACAUCCAUUCAAAAUUAAAGUCGGGGCAACCUGACGCUUUUUGAGGAGCCCGCGGCCUAUCAGCUUGUUGGUGAGGUAACGGCUCACCAAGGCGUUGACGGGUAGCUGGUCUGAGAGGACGACCAGCCACACUGGGACUGAGACACGGCCCAGACACCUACGGGUGGCAGCAGUCGAGAAUUUUUCUCAAUGGGGGAAACCCUGAAGGAGCGACGCCGCGUGGAGGAUGAAGGUCUUCGGAUUGUAAACUCCUGUCAUUGGGGAACAAGUCGCUUACGUUAACUGCGUGAGCGUUGAUAGUACCCGAAGAGGAAGAGACGGCUAACUCUGUGCCAGCAGCCGCGGUAAUACAGAGGUCUCAAGCGUUGUUCGGAUUCAUUGGGCGUAAAGGGUGCGUAGGCGGCGCGGUAAGUCGGGUGUGAAAUCUCGGAGCUUAACUCCGAAACUGCAUUCGAUACUGCCGUGCUUGAGGACUGGAGAGGAGACUGGAAUUUACGGUGUAGCGGUGAAAUGCGUAGAUAUCGUAAGGAAGACCAGUGGCGAAGGCGGGUCUCUGGACAGUUCCUGACGCUGAGGCACGAAGGCCAG